UAUUGGGCGUAAAGGGUGCGUAGGUGGUUGAAUAAGUUAUUGGUGGUAAAUCGGAGCUCAACUCCGUGGAGGCCAGUAAUACUAUUGAACUAGAGGGCCGGAGGGGUUAAUGGAAUUCUAUGUGUAGCGGUAAAAUGCUCAAAUAUAUAGAGGAACGCCAAUCGGCGAAGGAGUUAACUAUUCGAUUCCUGACGUUGAGGCACGAAAGCGUGGGGAGCAAGACGGAUUAGAUACCCGAGUAGUCCACGCCCUAAACGAUGAGUACUAGAUAUUGGGAACUUGAUUCUCAGUGUCGCAAGGUAACCCGGUAAGUACUCCGCCUGGGUAGUACGGUUGCAAGACUAAAACUCAAAGGAAUUGACGGGGACUCACACAAGCAGUGGAGCAUGUGGUUUAAUCCGAUACGACGCGUAGAACCUUACCGGGGUUUGACAUGUUCGGCAAAACUCGGGAAACCGAGGGGAGGCUAUCCGAGCACAGGUGUUGCAUGGCCAUCGUCAGUUCGUGUUGUGAAAUGUAUGGUUUAGUCCUAUUAACGAACGAAACCCUUAUGCUUAGUUGCUAACAAGUAAAGUUGAGGACUCUAAGCAGACUGCCAAGGUAACUUGGAGGAAGGAGAGGAUCAAGUUUGGU
RNAcentral lists this ribosomal RNA (633 nucleotides) under Candidatus Moeniiplasma glomeromycotorum. RNAcentral describes it as "bacterial SSU rRNA". It matches the Rfam family "Bacterial small subunit ribosomal RNA", at positions 552 to 1190 of the family's 1533-position model. The record is from RNAcentral. Lineage: Bacteria; Bacillati; Mycoplasmatota; Mollicutes; Mycoplasmatales; Mycoplasmataceae.